UAAAUUAUCAAAGUAAAAUAAAAUAUGUAGGGUUAUAACAUAUUUUAAACAUAUAUACUACCAUCCAAAUAAUUUAUUUAUCAAAAUAUUGUAUGAGAGAUUUUAUUCUAUAAUUAAUUUUUAUAUAAAUAGUAAUGCUUUUACAUAUAUAUAUAUAUAUAUAUAUAUAUGGUUUGAGAAUAUACUUUUUAAAAUGAAUUAUAUUUAUCUGUAACCACACUGAAGUAAUGGAACAAUUAAGUGUUACUCCUAUUCUUUUUUUAAUUUUAUUUUAUACAAGUCACACAGAAAUUGCAAUAACCUAGGCACACAAUCUUAUUUUAAAACUUGGAUGCAUACAAAUAUAAAAAAGAAAACGAAGGAUUUCAGUAAUGCAGUAAAUUUUUUGCAUAAUAAAAAUGUUAUAGAAAGCAUGAAAGAAGAAAGUGCACUUGAAAGGAAAUUUGUUUUUUGAAAUGAGACUACAAUAUGCUUCUAAUAAUUCAUACAAUUUCUGAAUUUGAAAGAAAUGAAAUAUAAAAUAUUUGUUUCUUUUAUUAAAAUACACAGUUUCUAUAUAAGUAUAUGUGAGAUAUGAAAUAGAUUUUUUUGGCAUACAAUGCAAUACAUGACUAUGAACAUUUGAAAUUCAAUUCGAUUUUUAUCAA
RNAcentral lists this long non-coding RNA (647 nucleotides) under Physcomitrium patens. Its description in RNAcentral is "long non-coding RNA (PPAT_LNC000697)". Lineage: Eukaryota; Viridiplantae; Streptophyta; Bryopsida; Funariales; Funariaceae. The record is from RNAcentral.